UACGUAGGUGGCAAGCGUUGUCCGGAUUUACUGGGCGUAAAGCGCACGCAGGUGGCCUAUCAAGUCUGGGGUAAAAUCUCCUGGCUCAACCAGGAGAGGUCUCUGGAUACUGGUAGGCUUGAGGGCAGCAGAGGAGAGCAGAAUUCCCGGUGUAGCGGUGAUAUGCGUAGAUAUCGGGAGGAAUACCAGUGGCGAAGGCGGCUCUCUGGGCUGUCCCUGACGCUGAGGUGCGAAAGCGUGGGGAGCAAACCGG
RNAcentral lists this ribosomal RNA (253 nucleotides) under uncultured bacterium. RNAcentral's name for it is "partial 16S ribosomal RNA". It matches the Rfam family "Bacterial small subunit ribosomal RNA", at positions 524 to 776 of the family's 1533-position model. The record is from RNAcentral.